Molecule: long non-coding RNA, 511 nt
Filed under: Erythranthe guttata (spotted monkey flower)
Lineage: Eukaryota; Viridiplantae; Streptophyta; Magnoliopsida; Lamiales; Phrymaceae
Description: long non-coding RNA (EGUT_LNC002892)
Source: RNAcentral
CGCGACCCGUGAUAAAAGCGGUCCGGUCUGACCCCUAGAACCGGGAAAAUCAGAAACCCGGUCCAAACAUAGAAAAUCCGGUUCAACCGGCCAAAACCGGUGAACCCGGAAACCGGUCAACAACCCCGGUUUUCAUCUUAAAUAUUACGUCCGGUGGCUGUUGGUGGCGGUGUACGGUCAGAAUUUGUUGGGGGUGGCUGGAACUGUGUAGAAUAGGCCGAGGUCGGCCAGAAAUCGACAGAUCUGGCCGUGGAUUUGCGAAUUUCGAUGGGAUUUAGUCCUGGUUUGCUGGAACAGGUUGUGUGUGUUUCUGGAUAUGUAGAAAAAAAAAAAAGUAAGAAGAUUGAAAAGAAGAAAAUGAAAUUAAUAGAAAAGGGAGAGAGAGAGAGAAGGCAGAUAUGGGGGAAAAAAAUAAUGGUGGGUAAAAGAGGGUGAUGGGUGGAAGUGAAUUGUGGAGAGAGAAAGUGUGGACUGGUGAAGAUGGCUGUAGUGAUGAGAAAAGAGGUGGAGA